GAUAGCUCAGUCGGUAGAGCAUGAGACUCUUAAUCUCAGGGUCGUGGGUUCCACAUUGGGCA
Molecule: transfer RNA, 62 nt
Filed under: Podarcis lilfordi (Lilford's wall lizard)
Lineage: Eukaryota; Metazoa; Chordata; Lepidosauria; Squamata; Lacertidae
Description: tRNA.Lys
Rfam family: tRNA
About the family: Transfer RNA (tRNA) molecules are approximately 80 nucleotides in length. Their secondary structure includes four short double-helical elements and three loops (D, anti-codon, and T loops). Further hydrogen bonds mediate the characteristic L-shaped molecular structure. tRNAs have two regions of fundamental functional importance: the anti-codon, which is responsible for specific mRNA codon recognition, and the 3' end, to which the tRNAs corresponding amino acid is attached (by aminoacyl-tRNA synthetases). tRNAs cope with the degeneracy of the genetic code in two manners: having more than one tRNA (with a specific anti-codon) for a particular amino acid; and 'wobble' base-pairing, i.e. permitting non-standard base-pairing at the 3rd anti-codon position.
Source: RNAcentral